Small nuclear RNA from Echinops telfairi (small Madagascar hedgehog), 163 nucleotides. Its record names the gene U1. It matches the Rfam family "U1 spliceosomal RNA". From Rfam's summary of the family: U1 is a small nuclear RNA (snRNA) component of the spliceosome (involved in pre-mRNA splicing). Its 5' end forms complementary base pairs with the 5' splice junction, thus defining the 5' donor site of an intron. NCBI's taxonomy places the organism in Eukaryota, Metazoa, Chordata, Mammalia, Afrosoricida, Tenrecidae. The record is from Ensembl.
AUACUUACCUGGCAGGGGAGAUACCGUGAUCACGAAGGUGGUUUCCCAGGGCGAGGCUCAUCCGUUGCACUCCGGAUGUGCUGACCCCUGUGAUUUCCCCAAAUGUGGGAAACUCGACUGCAUAAUUUGUGCUAGUGGGGGACUGCGUUCUCGCUCUCCCCUG